Molecule: ribosomal RNA, 253 nt
Filed under: uncultured bacterium
Lineage: Bacteria
Description: partial 16S ribosomal RNA
Rfam family: Bacterial small subunit ribosomal RNA
Source: RNAcentral
GACAGAGGGUGCAAACGUUGCUCGGAAUUACUGGGCGUAAAGCGCGUGUAGGUGGAUUGGUGUGUCAGAUGUGAAAUCCCUGGGCUCAACCCAGGAACUGCACCUGAAACUACCAGUCUUGAGUGGUGGAGAGGGAAGUGGAAUUCCUGGUGUAGAGGUGAAAUUCGUAGAUGUCAGGAGGAACACCAGUGGCGAAGGCGGCUUCCUGGACACCAACUGACGCUGAGACGCGAAAGCGUGGGGAGCAAACAGG